ACUGAAAAUCGUUCUCUGCUAAUGUCUGAUUUCCACAGGAGGUGUGGACUACUAAUAGUGGCAAGCUGACACAGGGAAGACAAUUGCAAAGCAGGCCCUUCCCAGUAGCCAAGCUGUCUGAACACUGUCCUUUGAGCAUAACCACCUUCAUUGUCAUCCUCACUGGAAGCAUUUGUGACUACUCAGGAGAUACAUUCAAGGAUCUAUGGAGCCUAUUUAUUUCUUCAAAACUUCCUCUUCUAUCUGCCAUCUACAACUCCGUUCAUAUUUAUCAUCAGAAUCUGACUCAUCUGCCCAGCUUUUAGGAACUUCGUAGUAACAUCCUCCUGCAGGCUGCCAUCCCUACUUCUUUGCCUGAAUGCCACCUCCAGAGGGUUGGGCUUACAGGCACAUUGGGGUGGACCGCUCUCCUGAGCACCUUUUGAGUAGGUCAGAGUAUCGUGGGGAAGCACACCAAAGCUACAAGCUGGGGUGAGAAAGCACCCGGGAGCAAACAGCAGCAUCAUGUCCUCUGAGAUCUCAGUCACUGAUGGAGAACGGGGCAGGACUACAGGAGGCAGCAAGACCAUCUCCACAGUGUAUAAUGUCAACAUUAAAUGAAAACAUGAAUGCAGAAUCACUGAACUCUUACAGAGUCACUGACAUUACAGGUUCUGCCAAGCUGACUCCUCCUCCACCAGCCUGUGCUCUCUGAUGUUAAGUGCCAUUCCUUGGAGCUGAAGUCAGACAGGAAGAACAUUUGAGGCAGAGGAAGAAGCAUGAGGAAAAACAAUAAUCAUGGAACAUGGAGUGGUCCCUGGAUAACGGAAGCAGAAAUGUUAGGUCUAAUGGAGUGUGUGAGAGCUGCCAGAGGGAAGACACAGUUUUCUCUGGGUUGUCAUUCCCUCAACUCCUCACUAGCAGCCAUUAAUACCAACAUCGUAGUCUGGUGAGCCCAUGAGUAUCUGACCAAGACUCACCUUUCUCAGUUCAUCGGUGAUUCCCUUGUUCCUUCUCCUUGGGGGUCAUAGGACUGUCUUUUCACUCUAAUCACACACACACACACACACACACACACAGGCACACAUUCCACUAGAGCUGCUUACAGAAUGGCAAAAUUAAAAUGGAUAGCUCCGUGUUCAAAGACCACCAAAAAA
Molecule: long non-coding RNA, 1136 nt
Organism: Meriones unguiculatus (Mongolian gerbil)
Lineage: Eukaryota; Metazoa; Chordata; Mammalia; Rodentia; Muridae
Exons: 4
Source: RefSeq, a predicted model, not a curated record